CGGGCUGUAGCGCAGUUUGGUAGCGCGCUUGAAUGGGGUUCAAGAGGCCCCCGGUUCGAAUCCGGGCAGCCCGACCA
Molecule: transfer RNA, 77 nt
Filed under: Bacillota bacterium
Lineage: Bacteria; Bacillati; Bacillota
Description: tRNA-Pro
Rfam family: tRNA
About the family: Transfer RNA (tRNA) molecules are approximately 80 nucleotides in length.
Source: RNAcentral